AACAAGGCGUACCUGCGGACCUGCGGAAGGAUCAUUACAGAGUUCGUGCCCUCGCGGGUAGAUCUCCCACCCUUGUGUAUUCCUUACAUUUUGUUGCUUUGGCAGGCCGUUGGUUCGCCAACCACCGGCUCUACGGGCUGGUGCGUGCCUGCCAGAGGACCCCCCAAACUCGGUUUGUUAGUGUCGUCUGAGUAACCAUAACAAUCGUUAAAACUUUUAACAACGGAUCUCAGAUCGGAA
This 240-nucleotide unclassified non-coding RNA is filed under the name soil metagenome. Its description in RNAcentral is "partial contains 5.8S ribosomal RNA, internal transcribed spacer 2, and large subunit ribosomal RNA". The record is from RNAcentral.